Molecule: ribosomal RNA, 492 nt
Filed under: uncultured bacterium
Lineage: Bacteria
Description: partial 16S ribosomal RNA
Rfam family: Bacterial small subunit ribosomal RNA
Source: RNAcentral
AGUGAACGCUGGCGGUAGGCCUAACACAUGCAAGUCGAACGGCAGCACAGUAAGAGCUUGCUCUUACGGGUGGCGAGUGGCGGACGGGUGAGGAAUACAUCGGAAUCUACUUUUUCGUGGGGGAUAACGUAGGGAAACUUACGCUAAUACCGCAUACGACCUACGGGUGAAAGCAGGGGAUCUUCGGACCUUGCGCGAUUGAAUGAGCCGAUGUCGGAUUAGCUAGUUGGCGGGGUAAAGGCCCACCAAGGCGACGAUACGUAGCUGGUCUGAGAGGAUGAUCAGCCACACUGGAACUGAGACACGGUCCAUACUCCUACGGGAGGCAGCAGUGGGGAAUAUUGGACAAUGGGCGCAAGCAUGAUCCAGCCAUACCGCGUGGGUGAAGAAGGCCUUCGGGUUGUAAAGCCCUUUUGUUGGGAAAGAAAAGCAGCAGGUUAAUACCCCGCUGUUCUGACGGUACCCAAAGAAUAAGCACCGGCUAACUUCGUG